RNAcentral lists this unclassified non-coding RNA (358 nucleotides) under Hevea brasiliensis (rubber tree). The record is from RNAcentral. Lineage: Eukaryota; Viridiplantae; Streptophyta; Magnoliopsida; Malpighiales; Euphorbiaceae.
UACUGUACAUAAAAUAUGAAAGUACAUCAAAUAUAUAUUUUAUUCUAUACAUAAAAUAUCAAAAUACACCAAAUAUAUAUUCUAUAAUAUACAUAAAAUAUCAAAAUACCCAAAAUAUAUAUUCUAUACUAUACAAAAAAUAUCAAAAUACCCAAAACAUAUAUUAUAUACUAUACAUAAAAUAUAAAAAUACAUCAAAUAUAUAUUUUAUUCUAUACAUAAAAUAUCAAAAUACACCAAAUAUAUAUUCUAUAAUAUACAUAAAAUAUCAAAAUACCCAAAAUAUAUAUUCUAUACUAUACAAAAAAUAUCAAAAUACCCAAAACAUAUAUUAUAUACUAUACAUAAAAUAUAAAAA